AAGUGGCGGCGUGCCUACACAUGCAAGUCGAACGAGAAAGUGGAGCAAUCCAUGAGUAAAGUGGCGACCGGGCGAUGUAACACGUGACCAAUCUGCCCUUGAGUGGGGGAUAACCUCGGGAAACCGGGGCUAAUACCGCAUAACAUCUUCAGGUCGGAAGAGCUGAAGAUCAAAGGAGCAAUUCGCUUAAGGAGGAGGUCGCGGCUGAUUAGCUAGUUGGCGGGGUAAUGGCCCACCAAGGCGAAGAUCGGUAGCCGGCCUGAGAGGGCGCACGGCCACACUGGAACUGAAACACGGUCCAGACUCCUACGGGAGGCAGCAGUGGGGAAUUUUGCGCAAUGGGGGAAACCCUGACGCAGCAACGCCGCGUGGAGGAUGAAGUCCCUUGGGACGUAAACUCCUUUCGACCGGGAAGAUAAUGACGGUACCGGUGGAAGAAG
RNAcentral lists this ribosomal RNA (440 nucleotides) under uncultured bacterium. RNAcentral's name for it is "bacterial SSU rRNA". It matches the Rfam family "Bacterial small subunit ribosomal RNA", at positions 37 to 490 of the family's 1533-position model. The record is from RNAcentral.